AGUGAUUCCCUACGGGGCGCAGCAGGCGCGAAAACUUUACAAUGCGAGAAAUCGUGAUAAGGGAACUCCGAGUGCCCGUUAAAUCGGGCUGUCCAUCUGUGUAAACAACAGGUGAAGAGAGGGCCGGGCAAGACCGGUGCCAGCCGCCGCGGUAAUACCGGCGGCUCGAGUGGUGGCCACUAUUACUGGGCUUAAAGCGUUCGUAGCUGGUCUGUUAAGUCUCUGGGGAAAUCUACCGGCUUAACCGGUAGGCGUCUCAGGGAUACUGGCAGACUAGGGACCGGGAGAGGUGAGAGGUACUCCAGGGGUAGGAGUGAAAUCCUGUUUACG
RNAcentral lists this ribosomal RNA (330 nucleotides) under uncultured Methanomicrobiaceae archaeon. RNAcentral describes it as "bacterial SSU rRNA". It matches the Rfam family "Archaeal small subunit ribosomal RNA", at positions 314 to 648 of the family's 1478-position model. Lineage: Archaea; Methanobacteriati; Methanobacteriota; Methanomicrobia; Methanomicrobiales; Methanomicrobiaceae. The record is from RNAcentral.